UACGAAGGGGGCUAGCGUUGCUCGGAAUCACUGGGCGUAAAGCGCACGUAGGCGGCUUUCUAAGUCAGGGGUGAAAUCCUGGAGCUCAACUCCAGAACUGCCUUUGAUACUGGGAAGCUCGAGUCCGGAAGAGGUGAGUGGAACUCCGAGUGUAGAGGUGAAAUUCGUAGAUAUUCGCAAGAACACCAGUGGCGAAGGCGGCUCACUGGCCCGGUACUGACGCUGAGGUGCGAAAGCGUGGGGAGCAAACAGG
This 253-nucleotide ribosomal RNA is filed under the name uncultured bacterium. RNAcentral describes it as "partial 16S ribosomal RNA". It matches the Rfam family "Bacterial small subunit ribosomal RNA", at positions 524 to 776 of the family's 1533-position model. The record is from RNAcentral.